This 292-nucleotide ribosomal RNA is filed under the name uncultured bacterium. RNAcentral's name for it is "partial 16S ribosomal RNA". The record is from RNAcentral.
GGACUACUGGGGUAUCUAAUCCUGUUUGCUCCCCACGCUUUCGUGCCUGAACGUCGGUGCUGGACCAGGAAGCCGCUUUCGCCACUGGUGUUCCUUCCGAUAUCUACGCAUUUCACCGCUACACCGGAAAUUCCGCUUCCCUCUUCCGCACCCUAGCUACGCAGUCUCGAAUGCAAUUCCCAGGUUGAGCCCGGGGCUUUCACACCCGACUUAUGUAACCGUCUACGCACGCUUUACGCCCAGUAAUUCCGAUUAACGCUUGCACCCUCUGUAUUACCGCGGCUGCUGGCAC